Molecule: long non-coding RNA, 246 nt
Filed under: Homo sapiens (human)
Lineage: Eukaryota; Metazoa; Chordata; Mammalia; Primates; Hominidae
Description: HSALNT0153960
Source: RNAcentral
CUGUUUCUGUGAAGAGGAGAGCAUGAAAUGUGUGGAAUACUGUGCUGAGACCUUUAUCACAAGAAAGAACCCAGAGGAUUUAGACAGGCAAGGGAGUCAGGAAACUUGCAUGUCAUAUCCUACAGGAGGCAUAAAAAUGGACUGCUUUUUUGAAAAACAAGAUUCUGUUAUAUCACAGAGAGAAGCAUGCAGCAGCAGUUCUCCUUGCCAGGACUGUGCACAACUUUGUCAUAGCCUGCAUCAUCU